CCCCCUUUUUAUUUUUUUCGGAUCCCAUUGUACUUAACUGAAUUUUAUAACGCUGAUCGAUAUCUUGGUAAAAUAUUCAUUUUUAAACUAGCGGGCAGUGAAAUCUUUGCUUUGUGUGCUAAAGUCAACAGUCGCACAGUUCGGGCUCCAAUAAAUGCGGCGAUGCUGCGGCUUGGAGCAGUCAGGGCGUCUCCCAACGCAAGACAGUCCUCGCCGGGCAGUUGGCUGCGGAGGGCCCCGCACCAGGUUAGUGAGGCCCUAGAGAUUAAAGUUCGGCCAUUUUCUGAAGCCCCCCGGGAAGGUUUCAGGCCACACCAGGACCUUCUUUUCCCCGAAUCCUCUUCCAACUAAAGGAACAUCAAAGCAUCAGUUGGAUAAAAGCACUGGCCCUGUAUUCAGGAGGACCUGAGUUCAAAUCCAGCCUCAAACACUUGACACAUAUGAGCUGUGCUACCCUGGGCAAGUCACUUAACCCUCACUGCCCCAUUAAAAAAAAAAAAAGGCAUCAGGUUCCAAAGGAGAAAACCCCAAUUUCUUCCAAGCAAAUGAAGUAGAUCUGACAAGCUCAUCUAAGCCCUGUACUUUUAUCUGGAGAAAGUCAAAAAGCAUUGUUGGAAAUCUGAAGGGAGACAAGGUGUCAUUGUGAGGACUAGUGAUAGAAUCCCGUUCUAUGGGAUUCAAGAGACCAUGACUCCUGGCUUCUGAGAAGACUCAGAUGAUGUGAUAGGCAGGGUUAUUUCUCUUCACAUUUUUGGACUCCUUUCUAGAAUGACUCCUUGUUUGUUCUCGUGAUUAACGUAUUUCUGUAUUAAGAACCUCAUCUUUAUUUCCUGGUGAACUUAGCCUUAUUUCUGGGGCUGCCUAAGAAAGAGCUCCCUGGCCUUCAUAAAGCUCUGUCCCUGCUUCUCGGAAGACAUUUGAUGGUAUUGGGAAGGGGAAGAGAAAAAUACAAAUCCAUACUAAUAAAAUAGCCUCAGAGUGAUUUGUGCAAAAAAAGUGCUGGACCACAAAAAGAUGGAGAAGAAGAGAGAAUGGUGUCUACCUUUCCUUUUAGAGGAGCAAUCACAUUUUAACUUCAUUUGGUUGAGUUAUGAAUCCAUUGGUCAGGAGCAACCUAUUCACAAGUUGGAGAACUGUGGCAGCAGAACAAGGUUUCCUGUGAUUUUUAUAUUCCACCUUGGGCAAGAUGGGGUGUAAGUUUUUAUUCCAGGACAAUGUUUUGUAUGAUGAGAGAAAAGAUUGGAACAUCGUGUGAGUGGGUGUGUGGAAUGAGUGUGCCUGUGUGAGUCUAUCUGCUGAUGUUUUAGCAAUUUAAAAGUGUUGACUGUUAAAUGCAAAGAAAGGCAGCAGCAAAUUAAAA
Long non-coding RNA from Dromiciops gliroides (monito del monte), 1360 nucleotides. RefSeq lists it as uncharacterized. The transcript is spliced from 4 exons. NCBI's taxonomy places the organism in Eukaryota, Metazoa, Chordata, Mammalia, Microbiotheria, Microbiotheriidae. The record is from RefSeq and is a predicted model, not a curated record.